CCCCUCGCUCCCGGGGAGAAGCUGUCCUUGCUGCCGGUGUCACCUGCCCGGCACAGCGGGAGGCAGGGAACAGACACUUCGAGAGAAGACAAAAGUACAAACACCAGCUAGAUGCUGUCUGAGAGCUGGGCCACUGGACCGAAGCCCCUGAUCACCGUCAGGCUCCAGGACAAAAUGCAGAGCUUGUUUCUAAGGGAGUCUGCCCGUGACCGUGACUGGCAGAGCGCAGGUACAGAACUCACACCUAACUUUAAGAACGGAAUCUUCACUCUGUGUCCCUCGUCACGUGUUACGGUGCCCAUGGCUGAGGCUGCCACAGUACAGUGGCAGGGGACCCCUCGCUGGCUCCGGGCUCAGGCAGGCUACCCCCGGGCACAGGAGGGGGCAGACCCAACCGUCACGGGUCAUCCAUGCCCACCGCGGCCAGGCUUACCGCCGGCUCCCUUUCUUCCUCCCGCCCUGUGAUCCCUUUCUGUGACUAUAAUUAGUGUCACAUUAAAGGUAAGUGUCAAAAAGGAGUUCGGCGGCCCCCGCUCAGGCACCCCGGCAGGAGGACGGAGGGAGGGGAGCACAUCUGUGCUUGUUGCCAUGGUGACUGUGGAAGAAGGGGACGUGAGUGUCUUGCUGCACCUUACAGGUCCCAUAACCUGGGAUGGCCUGGGCUCCCUGGGGGUGGCAGCGAACCCGGGAGAAGAGCAAGCCCCCCCUGCCCCCCGCUCCCCGUCCUUCAACCUGUGCUAAGGACACACCCAGGCCCUGCAGGACCAGCGGCUUCUGUGCCCCACAGCCACAGGCGGAGGCUGGGCUCACCUCCCCGGGACCCGGGCCCUUCUGCGUCAGCAUCUCUCUGCAAAAGUGUGAGCCAGGGCGGCCCAGGUCCUGGGGAAGGGCCUGUGGGGAUCCUGAUGACCGGCUCUGUGACGCUGCUUCAGGCAGGUGUGCUGAAGGGACACGGCGACCAGGCUGAAGGCGAGGGCAGUCUGGGAGCCUCACAGCCGGCUGCAGACCCUGGAUGUCCCCAUGGCCACCUGGCCCCGGGCAGCACACUGGAGUGGGGACUGGAAGCUUCUGGUGGGGGUUGAGCCCCAACUCCUAAAAGUAGAAGCCCUGAAAUGGAGGUGGUUCCAAGUGCCACUUUUCCGGGGAGAAGAGACACUUCCUCCCUGGGCGAGGGGUGCGGGCUCCUCAGCAGCCGGACGGGGGCCCCUUGCACCCCUUCCUCCAGGCUCUUCUCAGUGAACCCACCUGCCCUCCUGCGGAGAGACACCCCCAAGGGAGAGGCGGGGUCCCCCAGCGGAGCAGCCCGGACUCAGCAACUUCUGGGAGGGACUCCUCAGCUCCAGAAUCCGGAGUCACUCACCUGGCCAGCAGGGCGGGCACAGGGGAGUCCCCAGGGGCGCCUCCUCCGUGCAGCGCACCAGCGCAGAACCGCAGCCCCACACCCCUGGCACGGCAGCCCCC
This is a long non-coding RNA of Suricata suricatta (meerkat), 1461 nucleotides long. RefSeq lists it as uncharacterized. The record is from RefSeq and is a predicted model, not a curated record. NCBI's taxonomy places the organism in Eukaryota, Metazoa, Chordata, Mammalia, Carnivora, Herpestidae. The transcript is spliced from 4 exons.